This 253-nucleotide ribosomal RNA is filed under the name uncultured bacterium. RNAcentral's name for it is "partial 16S ribosomal RNA". It matches the Rfam family "Bacterial small subunit ribosomal RNA", at positions 524 to 776 of the family's 1533-position model. The record is from RNAcentral.
UACAGAGGUCUCAAGCGUUGUUCGGAUUCAUUGGGCGUAAAGGGCGCGUAGGCUGCGGGGCAAGUCGGGUGUGAAAUCUCAGAGCUCAACUCUGAAACUGCACUCGAUACUGCUUUGCUUGAGGACUGGAGAGGAGAUUGGAAUUCACGGUGUAGCAGUGAAAUGCGUAGAUAUCGUAAGGAAGACCAGUGGCGAAGGCGGAUCUCUGGACAGUUCCUGACGCUGAGGCGCGAAGGCCAGGGGAGCAAACGGG